GCAAGGGGUGCGCCUCGGGAGGGGCCUGCGGGCUAUCAGCUUGUUGGUGGGGUAAUGGCUUACCAAGGCGAAGACGGCUAGGGGGCGUGAGAGCGCGACCCCCCACAAUGGAACUGAGACACGGUCCAUACUCCGGCGGGAGGCAGCAGUGAGGAAUAUUGCGCAAUGGGGGCAACCCUGACGCAGCAACGCCGCGUGGACGAUGAAGGCCUUCGGGUUGUAAAGUCCUUUUCUGAAGGAAGAUAGUGACGGUACUUCAGGAAUAAGUCCCGGCUAACUACGUGCCAGCAGCCGCGGUAAAACGUAGGGGGCGAGCGUUAUCCGGAUUUACUGGGCGUAAAGCGCACGUAGGCGGCAUCGUAAGUUGGACGUGAAAGCUCCCGGCUCAACUGGGAGAGGUCGUUCAAAACUGUGGUGCUUGAGGUUGAUAGAGGAGAGUGGAAUUCCCGGUGUAGUGGUGGAAUGCGUAGAUAUCGGGAGGAACACCAGUGGCGAAGGCGGCUCUCUAGGUCACACCUGACGCUGAGGUGCGAAAGCGUGGGGAGCGAACGGGAUUAGAUACCCCGGUAGUCCACGCUGUAAACGAUGGAUACUAGGUGUGGGAGGUUAUUUACCCCUUCUGUGCCGUAGCUAACGCGUUAAGUAUCCCGCCUGGGGACUACGGCCGCAAGGUUAAAACUCAAAGGAAUUGACGGGGGCCCGCACAAGCAGCGGAGCGUGUGGUUUAAUUCGAUGAUACGCGAAGAACCUUACCUGGGCUUGACAUGGUGGUAGUAGUGAAGCGAAAGCGGAACGACCCUUCGGGGAGCCAUCACAGGUGCUGCAUGGCUGUCGUCAGCUCGUGUCGUGAGAUGUUGGGUUAAGUCCCGCAACGAGCGCAACCCUCGUCGCUAGUUAUAUGUGUCUAGUGAGACUGCCGGUAUCAAACCGGACGCAAGGUGGGGAUGACGUCAAGUCAGCAUGGUCUUUAUGUCCAGGGCUACACACACGCUACAAUGGCCGGUACAAUGGGUUGCCAUACCGCAAGGUGGUGCUAAUCCUCAAAGCCGGUCUCAGUUCGGAUUGCAGUCUGCAACUCGACUGCAUGAAGGUGGAGUUGCUAGUAACCGCGCGUCAGCAAUCGUGCGGUGAAUGCGUUCCCGGGCCUUGUACACACCGCCCGUCACAUCAUGGGAGUCGGCAACACCUGAAGUCGGUGACCAAACCGAAAGGUAGGA
This 1217-nucleotide ribosomal RNA is filed under the name uncultured organism. Its description in RNAcentral is "bacterial SSU rRNA". It matches the Rfam family "Bacterial small subunit ribosomal RNA", at positions 202 to 1451 of the family's 1533-position model. The record is from RNAcentral.